RNAcentral lists this ribosomal RNA (424 nucleotides) under uncultured euryarchaeote. RNAcentral's name for it is "bacterial SSU rRNA". It matches the Rfam family "Archaeal small subunit ribosomal RNA", at positions 322 to 747 of the family's 1478-position model. The record is from RNAcentral. Lineage: Archaea; Methanobacteriati; Methanobacteriota.
CCUAUGGGGGGCAGCAGGGACGAAUCCUUCGCAAUGCGCGCAAGCGUGACGAGGGGACUCCGAGUGAUGGACCACGCGUUCAUCUUUUCGCCAGACCAAACAUCUGGCGGAAUAAGGGCCGGGCAAUAUCGGUGCCAGCCGCCGCGGUAACACCGAAGGCUCAAGUGGUAUCCACGAAUAUUGGGCUUAAAGAGUCCGUAGCUGGCCUGUUAAGUUCUCUGUGAAAUCUUCCAGCUUAACUGGAAGGCGUGCAGGGGGUACUGACAGGCAUGGGAGUGGGGGAGGUCAGGAGUACUCACGGGGUAGAGGUAAAAUUCUGUAAUCCUGUGAGGACUACCAGUGGCGAAGGCGCCUGACCAAAACAUGUCCGACAGUGAGGGACGAAGGCUAGGAGAACGAAUCGGAUUAGAUACCCCCGUAGUCC